RNAcentral lists this ribosomal RNA (253 nucleotides) under uncultured bacterium. RNAcentral's name for it is "partial 16S ribosomal RNA". It matches the Rfam family "Bacterial small subunit ribosomal RNA", at positions 524 to 776 of the family's 1533-position model. The record is from RNAcentral.
UACGAAGGGGGCUAGCGUUGCUCGGAAUUACUGGGCGUAAAGCGCACGUAGGCGGAUUGUUAAGUCAGGGGUGAAAUCCUGGAGCUCAACUCCAGAACUGCCUUUGAUACUGGCGAUCUCGAGUCCGGGAGAGGUGAGUGGAACUGCGAGUGUAGAGGUGAAAUUCGUAGAUAUUCGCAAGAACACCAGUGGCGAAGGCGGCUCGCUGGCCCGAUACUGACGCUGAGGCACGAAAGCGUGGGGAGCAAACAGG